RNAcentral lists this ribosomal RNA (253 nucleotides) under uncultured bacterium. RNAcentral describes it as "partial 16S ribosomal RNA". It matches the Rfam family "Bacterial small subunit ribosomal RNA", at positions 524 to 776 of the family's 1533-position model. The record is from RNAcentral.
UACGUAGGGCGCAAGCGUUGUCCGGAAUUAUUGGGCGUAAAGAGCUCGUAGGUGGUUUGUCGCGUCUGUUGUGAAAGCCCGGGGCUUAACUCCGGGUUUGCAGUGGAUACGGGCAGGCUAGAGGCAGGUAGGGGAGAACGGAAUUCCCGGUGUAGCGGUGAAAUGCGCAGAUAUCGGGAGGAACACCGGUGGCGAAGGCGGUUCUCUGGGCCUGUACUGACGCUGAGGGGCGAAAGCGUGGGGAGCGAACAGG